GAUGAACGCUGGCGGCGUGCCUAAUACAUGCAAGUCGAGCGAACAGACGAGAGUGCUUGCACUCUCUGACGUUAGCGGCGGACGGGUGAGUAACACGUGGGUAACCUACCUAUAAGACUGGGAUAACUUCGGGAAACCGGAGCUAAUACCGGAUAAUAUUUAGCUUCGCAUGAAGCAAUAGUGAAAGACGGUUCUGCUGUCACUUAUAGAUGGACCCGCGGUGUAUUAGCUAGUUGGUGAGGUAACGGCUCACCAAGGCAACGAUACAUAGCCGACCUGAGAGGGUGAUCGGCCACACUGGGACUGAGACACGGCCCAGACUCCUACGGGAGGCAGCAGUAGGGAAUCUUCGGCAAUGGACGAAAGUCUGACGGAGCAAUGCCGCGUGAGUGAAGAAGGUUUUCGGAUCGUAAAACUCUGUUGUAAGGGAAGAACAAGUACGUUAGUAACUGAACGUACCUUGACGGUACCUUACCAGAAAGCCACGGCUAACUACGUG
RNAcentral lists this ribosomal RNA (499 nucleotides) under uncultured bacterium. RNAcentral's name for it is "partial 16S ribosomal RNA". It matches the Rfam family "Bacterial small subunit ribosomal RNA", at positions 28 to 507 of the family's 1533-position model. The record is from RNAcentral.